Molecule: ribosomal RNA, 314 nt
Filed under: uncultured bacterium
Lineage: Bacteria
Description: bacterial SSU rRNA
Rfam family: Bacterial small subunit ribosomal RNA
Source: RNAcentral
GACGAACGCUGGCGGCGUGCCUAACACAUGCAAGUCGAGCGGGAAUUCAUAGACUGAUUUCUUCGGAAUGAUGAUUAUGAAGGAGAGCGGCGGACGGGUGAGUAACGCGUGAGUAACCUGCCUUCAGGAGGGGGACAACACUUCGAAAGGGGUGCUAAUACCGCAUGAUAUACAUUUAAGGCAUCUUAGAUGUAUCAAAGAUUUUANCGCCUGAAGAUGGACUCGCGUCUGAUUAGCUAGUUGUGGGUAAAGCCUACAAGGCGACGAUCAGUAGCCGAACUGAGAGGUUGAUCGGCCACAUUGGGACUGAGACA